Long non-coding RNA from Molossus molossus (Pallas's mastiff bat), 427 nucleotides. RefSeq lists it as uncharacterized. Lineage: Eukaryota; Metazoa; Chordata; Mammalia; Chiroptera; Molossidae. The transcript is spliced from 3 exons. The record is from RefSeq and is a predicted model, not a curated record.
GCCUACAUUUUCUUCUAGGAUUUUUAUGGUUUUGCAACUUACAUACGUCAGUACGUGUUUUAUAACCUCCCUGGCCGUAAACCUGAGCACCAAUGCUUGAUCUACUGUCUAAGAGGAACAGGUGACUUUGCUAAUUUUACACAUUCAUGUUCUUGCUAAAUUUCUGAGGAUUUGUUCAAGUAUUAUGCUCAUUCAUGGACUGCUGGCAGUUUGGAGUGAGAAGGCAGCUAGAGACCCUGCAGCACAACCAUCUCAGCUUACAGAUGAAUAAAACCUCAGUCGCAUUGGGAAGUUUUGGCCAUCUUCAUCCACUCUUGCUGCCGUGGUACCAGAUUUCUGCAAUGUCUUCAAACAUCUCCUUCCCCACUAAUUAAAAACAGACGGUUUUGUUGGAACAUCAGCUACAAUAACAGGAAAAAGUAGCAUU